This 450-nucleotide ribosomal RNA is filed under the name uncultured bacterium. RNAcentral describes it as "partial 16S ribosomal RNA". It matches the Rfam family "Bacterial small subunit ribosomal RNA", at positions 354 to 796 of the family's 1533-position model. The record is from RNAcentral.
GUGGGGAAUAUUGGACAAUGGGCGAAAGCCUGACCCAGCCAUGCCGCGUGUGUGAAGAAGGUCUUCGGAUUGUAAAGCACUUUAAGUUGGGAGGAAGGGCAGUAAGUUAAUACCUUGCUGUUUUGACGUUACCGACAGAAUAAGCACCGGCUAACUUCGUGCCAGCAGCCGCGGUAAUACGAAGGGUGCAAGCGUUAAUCGGAAUUACUGGGCGUAAAGCGCGCGUAGGUGGUUUUGUAAGUUGGAGGUGAAAUCCCCGGGCUCAACCUGGGAACUGCCUCCAAAACUGCAUGACUAGAGUACGGUAGAGGGUAGUGGAAUUUCCUGUGUAGCGGUGAAAUGCGUAGAUAUAGGAAGGAACACCAGUGGCGAAGGCGACUACCUGGACUGAUACUGACACUGAGGUGCGAAAGCGUGGGGAGCAAACAGGAUUAGAAACCCCAGUAGUCC